AGGCGGUGAUGGCACGCCACCAGCACCCACACCCACACCCACACUGCUGCUGUUACGCACACGUCACGCACGUGACUGGACACACGCUUGCAUCAGCCUCCCCUCCUGCGCUUCCCCACACACUCCAUCCGCCUUUCUUUCUCGCGUGCAUUGUGUGUGCGUGGCGGACUCCGCAGGUUUGGACGGAGCACCGUGUAAACUUGAUCUUCCUUUUAUUUUCUGUUUUCAUCUCGCUGGCGCGCGUACGUGCGAGCGCGCGGGCGCGCUCAGAACCCCCCUCACUGCGCUCCUCCGGCUGACGCACAGUCGAGCACUCGCACGCGCCGACGCGGAGAGCCGUCCAGCCAGUGAGCAUAGCCAUCGGGCACCCUGUCCCCAGAAUCCCCAUCCGCAGGACCGGCGCAAUGCGGCCGAGACUGCUGCCGAGUCGGCGGUCUCGCACCGCUCGCUCAGCCCACCGCACGCUUCUCUGUCUAGUCCUCUCUGUCGGCGCCCUUGUCCUGCUCUCCGGGGUGGUCGUGUGGAGGACUAUGCGCGACGGAGGCGAAGGCGCGAAGGUCGGCGGCAAGGCGACGCAGCACCCUUCAACGCCAGGCAACCCUACUGUGUCGCUGGUGCCUGGCGCCGGCGCUGACGGCGACGCUCCGCCGUUGGGCGGCGAUCGAGGGGCAGCUCCGUACACGGAAAGCUUGGAGGAGUUGGUCCGGCUGCUGCGCAUCUACGCCGAGCACCGUGGCGUGCGGGUGAAUCACACGCAUGACGCACUUCUGGCGGGCAUCGCUGCAGCAGCAGGCCUCACGGACAGUGGCGAGAACUCACAGAGAGGUGCGGGAACCAGAGUCGCUGGUCUGCAGCUUCCCGGGGUGGAGCUGCUGCAUGGGCUGUACGGCGACGGCGAUCAGGCAGGUGGUCACCUCUCCGUCAACUGGGUUUUGGAUGAGCCUGAGGCGAUCACGGCGGAGCAGGAGACGUACGUGGAGCGGUACCUGGUCCCCACGCAGGCCGAGGUGGAGCUCACGCCACUGCGCGUCAUCUCAUCUUAUUAUAACAUGCAGGGAAGCCGCAGCCUCCACCGCAUGGCUGCCGAAACGGAGAAGGCGAUGAACGAUGACGGCUACGCGACGUACAUCCAACGCUCGCGUACGUUCUACGACGUCUCUCACGCGGCACGUCGCGGCUACGGGCAGGAGGGCAGCAUCUUCGUUGCCGUUCCUUUCACGCUCACCGAUAUCACGGCUGAAAUGGUGGGCACAAUCCGUCGUCGAGCGUCGGCCGUGCCGACUUCGUCGCAGGCCCAGAAGCCCGCCUCGAACUCGCCGCUGGAGGGAAGGGACGACGGCUUCCAUGAGUUGCGGCUUACAGCCGUGCGUUGCGCCAUGACGGUGGAGUCGCUUUUCCGCCAAGCCCACCGCGGCGUCGCGGUGACAGUCGGGACGAUUGAUGUGGUUACCGUGAGCGGUGUCUCCUCGGCGGCGGAGCUUGAUUUCUCAAAGCCUUCCGACGUGACCUUUCCCCUUCGCGCAGAAGACCGAGCCGGCCUUCCGCACACGCGACGCUACAGCCGAAUCACCUGCGAGCCCCCCGACUUUGCCAGUGGCUGGGACGACGCCAGCUACGGAUUUCGCUGGAAGGACAACCUGCGCCGCCGCCGCGUGGUGGUGCCCCUGACACAGCUCGACGCCGCGUCCGCGGCUCAUGCGGAUCUGCUGCACGGCGAUGGCGCCGCGGCGGCACUGGAGAGGUACUUUGCCUUUCCGUACGUGGGGCACUACGCCACGCUGCAGCUCUAUCGGGGCGAGUCGUACGUGUUCUUCCUGCGCACCGGCUCUCUGGCUCUCCCGAACUGGGACCUGACACUUCGCCUGCUGUACCUGCGCACCCCGACCCGGGAUCGUGCUGUACUGAGUAGCCGUCCGACACCACGCGUGGCAUGGACGGCGCUCGCGGCCUCCGUCGCAAAGAUGUGGGACACGGAACCGUUCCUGCGGCUGUCGUUGGCGACAGCGUCGCGACAGCGCAACGGCGAGGACGCGACAGGCGACGACAUGGACGUCGUCACCACCGCGCCACCUCCCGACAAGAUGGGCAGGCGCCUUUUGGCCGCGCUACCGGCGGAAGUGUCGUCGUGGCUGAUCGCGGCGCGGAAGGAAGCGGAGCUUGUGCUGUGGCUGGUGACGCCGAGCUGGCUGUGGCCCACAAUGGUAGAAACUCUGGCAGAUGGGCGCCAGCUCGCCGCUUCUCCGGAUUCACCGCCACCAGCGACCGCGCCCUCUGCACUGCGUCUGCUGUUCACCAGCGAUGCCGUGAGUGGCGUUCUUGGCAACGGGCUGCCGACUCUGAUGCAGGCGGACUUGAAUACUGUCCAGGUGGACCCUGUGAGGCGCUCUGAAGGUGCCGCUGCCGCGGCAGCGUCCCCGCGUGAGCAACGCGUCGUGAGUCUGCGCGGUGGCAAGAGCCCUACGACGAACAGCACGCCACAGGCUGUCCUGUCUGCCAGCCUCACAGCCUCUGAGGUAUACGAGCUGCUGUUCCUGGCCGAGAAGCGGCCGCCGAUGCCGGAGCAGCCGGUCGCCCACAUGCCGCAAUCAGAGCCGAUGAUUAAGUGGGUGCCCUCCAGCGACUCAGGCGCUGCUGCCGAGCGACUCUGUGGGGAGGCGACGUCCGAGGCACCGUACUACUCGGCUGCCGACAAGGCACUGCUGAAGCGCUCCUUCGAGUACUGUUGGCUGAAGAGGCACAGGAGAGCCGUGCGGCAGCAGCUGAACCGCCUCGUACACGCCACCAUGGCAGCGACAGUGCUGAAGGCGACCCCGGGCACGAAGGCGUCUGCCGCCGCCGCCCCGGCGGGGGCAGCGAAGUGCAGCACAAAGAGGGGCUUUGUGGAGGCGGAGGUGGUGCCGCGCUCGAGCGUGUGCUUGGCGGACAUGCGCUACCUGGAGCCGAUGGAGGGGACGUGGCUCACGGGUGCCGGCGGAGGCACGUUGGGCAGUGGUGACAGCGCCCACCAAGAAUGGCACGCGACCGAUCCGCGCUCGCUACGAGAAGAGGAUGCCUGGUUUACGUCCCCGGCGAACGUGGGCAAGGUUCACGGGGUGGCGACUGCUUCGUUGCUUGCCGCGCAAACCGCUCAUGGCACCGAAGAGCCGCAGCUGAACUCGCCGCGGUCACCGAAGGACGCGGCGUCGACCCCCGUUGAGCCGACGCCGUACGUGCUCCAGGCUGUUGCGUCGUCCGAUCUCCUGUUCGGCCCUGCGGAGGCCUUCUUCGAGUUCGAUACGGAGCACCAGCUGCGUACUGGAGCGCGCAGCCUCUCGGAGCAGCUCGCAGAGCGCCGCCUCCAUCGCCAAGGGCAGGCAGCGACGGCUGCGCACGCACGUGUGCCCGAGGCCGUCGAACUUGAUCCCUCUCUGCAGUUUAUGGACAGCGACCUCGAGGAUGUGUACAUGACGCAAGCGCUCUGGACGCGAGGGUGGAACAUCUUUGGGCUGACGGAGCCGGUGGCCGUAGGCACCGGCGAGGAGGAGCUGUCCAGCUCCCCGCCUGCGACAGCGCCGACGUCAUCUUCCGCGAGAGAUGAUGGACCAUGCACAGUCGACGAGGCGGCCGCUGGCGUGCCGUCGGAGCUGAACGAUGCGCGCACGUUCACGCAGGACAAGUUCUGGGCUUUGGUGAUGGCCCACCGCGAUGCGGGUACGCUGCUUGGCGCCACGGCUGCGAGGAACCACUCAUCUACGCCGCCGGAGAGCUCGCCGCCGCUCUAUCCCUUACGUAGAACUAUGAAGGAGUGGGAGCUGUUCGCUGGCAUGCAACUGACAACCCUCCGUGACGCGCUACGCUCGCCGUGACGCACGCGGUGGUGCCGUCUCCACUUGCAACGACAGUCCGAACGACAAUCCUGAUCACUGUGCACGCGCGACGAGCACAUGGGCGCGCAUCAGCGACCUUACACUCGACCGUAAUGUGCUUUCGCUGGCCAGCGUCGGGUACCUGUGCUGGUCCAUCAUGCGCACCCGAUUCGGCGUGACACGCGGAGGUGCAUCGGCGCUUCCGAUGAUUUUUUUUUUUUCUGAGCCACGCUGCUCCGAGAUGCGCGGGCCCUCUCCUGCCAAGCACCGUGCUCCGCACCCGCUCUUGCACUUCGCAUCCACGGAGUCGAUUUUGUAUAUGCACCGACGCACCUCCCCCAUCCCUCUGUCAUGACGCGGGCCACCGGGCCGUGCGUGUGUGGUGGCAGGCUCUCGGGGUGGUGGUGGCGGACUCUUGGUGUGUGUGGGGGGCAGGUGUCUGGGGGCCGGCGCUGCGCCGGCGAGGCUUGCGGCCAUGAUGCCGCUUGCACCGGCUCGCUACGACUCGUGCCGGCGGUCGAAAGAAGGAGCGCACGGAUGCGCCGGCUACUUGUCUGCCUUCGCUGCGUUGCGGUGGCGCGGGGCGCGAUGCGGGGGCGAGCCUGCGCUGUAUGCGGUGACGUGUUGCGGUGGGCUUGGACGGCGCCAGGCGGUGUUGGUGGGGCCCGGUUUCCUGGGCAUGGCCGUCGCGCACCAGAGGUAGGUGCGCUGUGGGCUGUGCAUGCGCCUCUUCAUUGCGCGGCUCGCGUGCGGAGCACGAACACGUUUGUGGGCUAUGAAGUCAAAAGUGUUCGCGCCUAAUCAUCAGCCAGUGCCGAGAGCAGGCAAGCGACUACAGCACCGUGGCCUUGGCCGGAGCCCUGGCG
Molecule: unclassified non-coding RNA, 4711 nt
Filed under: Leishmania donovani
Lineage: Eukaryota; Euglenozoa; Kinetoplastea; Trypanosomatida; Trypanosomatidae
Description: gene:LdHU3.02.0320(CDS-product:hypothetical_prote in_conserved)
Source: RNAcentral